Molecule: ribosomal RNA, 459 nt
Filed under: uncultured bacterium
Lineage: Bacteria
Description: partial 16S ribosomal RNA
Rfam family: Bacterial small subunit ribosomal RNA
Source: RNAcentral
CCUACGGGUGGCUGCAGUGAGGAAUAUUGGUCAAUGGACGCAAGCCUGAACCAGCCAUGUCGCGUGCAGGAAGACGGCCCUACGAGUUGUAAACUUCUUUUGUACGAGGAUAAAGUCAGAUACGCGUACCUUUCUGUAAGUACUGUAUGAAUAAGGAUCGGCUAACUCCGUGCCAGCAGCCGCGGUAAUACGGAGGAUUCAAGCGUUAUCCGGAUUUAUUGGGUUUAAGGGGUGCGUAGGUGGACGGUUAAGUCAGUGGUAAAAUUUGGGGGCUCAACCUCGUCGAGCCAUUGAAACUGGGUGCCUUGAGUAGGCGAGAGGUACGCGGAAUGCGUGGUGUAGCGGUGAAAUGCUUAGAUAUCACGAAGAACUCCGAUUGCGAAGGCAGCGUACCAACGCGCAACUGACACUGAAGCACGAAGGCGUGGGUAUCGAACAGGAUUAGAUACCCGGGUAGUC